RNAcentral lists this ribosomal RNA (428 nucleotides) under uncultured bacterium. RNAcentral describes it as "bacterial SSU rRNA". It matches the Rfam family "Bacterial small subunit ribosomal RNA", at positions 75 to 518 of the family's 1533-position model. The record is from RNAcentral.
CUUGCUGCAAGAAAAUGACUAGUGGCGGACGGGUGAGUAACGCGUGGGUAACCUGCCUCAUACAGGGGGAGUAACAGUUGGAAACGACUGCUAAGACCGCAUAACCCGCUAGUGUCGCAUGACACGGACGGAAAAUAUUUAUAGGUAUGAGAUGGGCCCGCGUCUGAUUAGCUAGUUGGUAAGGUAACGGCUUACCAAGGCGACGAUCAGUAGCCGACUUGAGAGAGUGAUCGGCCACAUUGGGACUGAGACACGGCCCAAACUCCUACGGGAGGCAGCAGUGGGGAAUAUUGGACAAUGGGGGAAACCCUGAUCCAGCGACGCCCGCGUGAGUGAAGAAGUAUUUCGGUAUGUAAAGCUCUAUCAGCAGGGAAGAUAAUGACAGUACCUGACUAAGAAGCCCCGGCUAACUACGUGCCAGCAGCAGC